RNAcentral lists this ribosomal RNA (889 nucleotides) under Klebsiella pneumoniae. RNAcentral's name for it is "bacterial SSU rRNA". It matches the Rfam family "Bacterial small subunit ribosomal RNA", at positions 55 to 936 of the family's 1533-position model. Lineage: Bacteria; Pseudomonadati; Pseudomonadota; Gammaproteobacteria; Enterobacterales; Enterobacteriaceae. The record is from RNAcentral.
AUGCAGUCGAGCGGUAGCACAGAGAGCUUGCUCUCGGGUGACGAGCGGCGGACGGGUGAGUAAUGUCUGGGAAACUGCCUGAUGGAGGGGGAUAACUACUGGAAACGGUAGCUAAUACCGCAUAACGUCGCAAGACCAAAGUGGGGGACCUUCGGGCCUCAUGCCAUCAGAUGUGCCCAGAUGGGAUUAGCUAGUAGGUGGGGUAACGGCUCACCUAGGCGACGAUCCCUAGCUGGUCUGAGAGGAUGACCAGCCACACUGGAACUGAGACACGGUCCAGACUCCUACGGGAGGCAGCAGUGGGGAAUAUUGCACAAUGGGCGCAAGCCUGAUGCAGCCAUGCCGCGUGUGUGAAGAAGGCCUUCGGGUUGUAAAGCACUUUCAGCGGGGAGGAAGGCGUUAAGGUUAAUAACCUUGGCGAUUGACGUUACCCGCAGAAGAAGCACCGGCUAACUCCGUGCCAGCAGCCGCGGUAAUACGGAGGGUGCAAGCGUUAAUCGGAAUUACUGGGCGUAAAGCGCACGCAGGCGGUCUGUCAAGUCGGAUGUGAAAUCCCCGGGCUCAACCUGGGAACUGCAUUCGAAACUGGCAGGCUAGAGUCUUGUAGAGGGGGGUAGAAUUCCAGGUGUAGCGGUGAAAUGCGUAGAGAUCUGGAGGAAUACCGGUGGCGAAGGCGGCCCCCUGGACAAAGACUGACGCUCAGGUGCGAAAGCGUGGGGAGCAAACAGGAUUAGAUACCCUGGUAGUCCACGCCGUAAACGAUGUCGAUUUGGAGGUUGUGCCCUUGAGGCGUGGCUUCCGGAGCUAACGCGUUAAAUCGACCGCCUGGGGAGUACGGCCGCAAGGUUAAAACUCAAAUGAAUUGACGGGGGCCCGCACAAGCGGUGGA